AGAGUUUGAUCCUGGCUCAGGACGAACGCUGGCGGCGUGCUUAACACAUGCAAGUCGAACGGAAAGGCCCUUCGGGGUACUCGAGUGGCGAACGGGUGAGUAACACGUGGGUGAUCUGCCCUGCACUUUGGGAUAAGCCUGGGAAACUGGGUCUAAUACCGGAUAUACCUCAUGGACUGCAUGGUUUGUGGGGGAAAGCUUUUGCGGUGUGGGAUGGGCCCGCGGCCUAUCAGCUUGUUGGUGGGGUGAUGGCCUACCAAGGCGACGACGGGUAGCCGGCCUGAGAGGGUGACCGGCCACACUGGGACUGAGAUACGGCCCAGACUCCUACGGGAGGCAGCAGUGGGGAAUAUUGCACAAUGGGCGCAAGCCUGAUGCAGCGACGCCGCGUGAGGGAUGACGGCCUUCGGGUUGUAAACCUCUUUCAGCAGGGACGAAGCGCAAGUGACGGUACCUGUAGAAGAAGGACCGGCCAACUACGUGCCAGCAGCCGCGGUAAUACGUAGGGUCCGAGCGUUGUCCGGAAUUACUGGGCGUAAAGAGCUCGUAGGUGGUUUGUCGCGUUGUUCGUGAAAACUCACAGCUCAACUGUGGGCGUGCGGGCGAUACGGGCAGACUUGAGUACUGCAGGGGAGACUGGAAUUCCUGGUGUAGCGGUGGAAUGCGCAGAUAUCAGGAGGAACACCGGUGGCGAAGGCGGGUCUCUGGGCAGUAACUGACGCUGAGGAGCGAAAGCGUGGGGAGCGAACAGGAUUAGAUACCCUGGUAGUCC
Molecule: ribosomal RNA, 772 nt
Filed under: uncultured bacterium
Lineage: Bacteria
Description: bacterial SSU rRNA
Rfam family: Bacterial small subunit ribosomal RNA
Source: RNAcentral